AGCCCUGAAGUCUAUGUAGGUGAUCGAGUUCACCUGUGACAAACUGAGCAGGAGGAGGCUGCAUGUGGACGCCUUAUGUCCUUAUUCGUUAAAAGUCCGUCAACCACGCUAUUGUCUAAUCCUGUGAGAAAAUAACAGAACAGAGCCUCUUUGUUGAGUGUUUGUCUGUCCCUGGGUUGGUCAUCACUCCUGGAGUCACAGAGAUGUCAGUCAACACUCGGUCCACUAUUCUCGCAGUGAUAUUCAAUACAAGCACACACAGUCACAGAAACACAGUCACACUUGACUGCUGACGUCAGUUGUGGUUUCAUGACUGUCACUGCAAUGCCGAUCGACCAGCUAGCAGGCCUGCAAUUAUUCCCGGCCCAACGCUCUCCUCACUGCAGUUUUGUUUUUCCACCAAAUGAGAGACUAGAACACAAAGGAUGCUAUGAAACACGCUGAAAAGAAACCAGCUGGCCAAGCCUGCGGACACAGUGGGAUUUCUGUUGAGACGUGUUUGUUGUAGGAACGGAGAGGAAUGACUCUGCGGACUCGAGCAGAGGCGUCCUGUGGUGCAGCGGGUUGAGGCGUCAACCGUGGAUUGGAAAUGAUUUGGGAUCACGUCCAGGGAACAGCCAUUGUCACGUCAAUAUUUCCCGUCUGUCCUCACCUCGGGUCAAAAUGUCUUUGUCACAAAACUGCGCAUUAAUGACACCAAACUGCAUUAGCUAAACAUAUCUGUUAUGUAUAAUCUUUAAUUCAAAAUGGGCAGGUGAUGGAUCACUUCAGGAAAUCCUACAUGUAAUAAGAAACUGAAGAUCUCUUAGAUGUCUAUUGGACAAAAUCCAACAAGAGCAGAAACCUGGAGGUUUUUCAUUUUUUUCAACAGCUGCUGGGAGCACCACAUCUCGACAAAAGCCUGAGUGUACGUUGGAAAUGUACCGCAUCAGAAGACUAAAAACUGAGUCUGGGAAGAGGUCAGAGGUCACUGAGCAGGGCUCUGUGCUCUACUAAACGUCCUCCUCCUCCUCCUCUGGGUGCUCCUCUGCUCCUCUGCUCCUGGACGCUCUCUCCUCUGCCUUCACGCCGCACCAGCUUUCCACUGAGUCACAGACAGACGGAGGAAAGCCCGCCACAGAGUGUUGUAGCCGCAUGACUCCAGGUCCAAAGUGAGGAGUGGGAGAAGAAAAGGAAAAGGGGCUUUAAAGGGCCAUUUCCUCAGGCCACAUUGCUGCCGGUUCAUGAGGGCUAAACGUGAGCAGAGCGUGGAGGCGUUGGUUUGAAAUCCACAUUGAGGAGUCCAGAGCUGAACUCUCCCUCUUCUCUGGAGACACACUCCUCCCUCCUUCCCUCCCUCCGCCUCUCUAUGGCUCUCCCCGUCUGUCUCCUCCUUCCAGGCUCAGAAACAUAGACUGCUGAGGCUUUAAAAAAGGCUUGAUCUAUGUGCAUGUAUUGUAUGUGUGGCUGAGUGCUAGAAAGGGGGGUCUCUGGUUGCAUUACCUGCACCACGUGUGUGUCUGUGGGAAUGUAUAUCCACAGUGUGGGGUAAAUGUGUGGUAUACUGUAUAUGUGCUGUGGACACUUUAACCGUUUGCAGCCUCAGCCAGCACACAUGCUUCACAGACUCAGUGUAAAAAACAACAAAUCACUCACCAAAGCAAACAAACAAAAAGAAAACCCUCACAAAUAAUUACUUCAUACUUGAUUUUCAUCUUUUAAAUUAUUCCAAUGACAGUACAACAUACAUUUAUUGUGCAUCUGAUGAGGGGUUCAAACACUAAUGUGGGAGUGUUUGCCGUCUUUCCAUGUAAAUUAUGAGUUUUUUUCUUAGUUUACAGAUGUUAACUUUCAGAGCUGCAUGCUAUACAGUAGUCUUGGAAAAGAUCGAGGAAUUACAGAUAUGGUUUUCAGUACGGUCAAACUUAGAUGUACUUCUCUUGCUAUGAAACCCAUGGAGAUGCUGUAUUGAGUUGCUGCAGUGCGCCGCAGGGGAGUUUCUACUGGUGGACCGGGAAGCUGAGCUGAGAAAAAUUGCAAAUAUAAGUGUUAGCAACAGCAUUACAUGACUGGUAUGCCAGGGUCAGGAUUUCUUAAUACAGACCACCCAGUCUAGAAAAAUGGGCAUGAUUCAACCAGAUAAACCUGGCACAACUUGCAACCCCUACUGUAGCGCAUCUUAACUAAACCGCAACAUUUCUUAUUUUAAAAUUCCAUUUUCUCCAGCUGCCUUUUGUUUCUCCCCCCACUAUACCUGUCUUUUAAUUGCUGUGUUUUAAUAAAUUUUCAAACGGA
Long non-coding RNA from Acanthochromis polyacanthus (spiny chromis), 2274 nucleotides. RefSeq lists it as uncharacterized. NCBI's taxonomy places the organism in Eukaryota, Metazoa, Chordata, Actinopteri, Pomacentridae. The record is from RefSeq and is a predicted model, not a curated record. The transcript has 2 exons.